CACGUGAAGGGCAAGCGUUAUCCAGCAUAACUGGGCGUAAAGAGUUCGUAGGCUGUAAAGUAAGUUUUUUGUUAAAUUUUAAGACUUAAUCUUAACACAGCAAUCAAAACUAUUUUACUAAGAGUUUAAUACAGAAAAGUAGAAUUUUAUACGGUAAAGGUAAAAUUUUUAAAUAUAUAAAGGAAUGCCGAUAACGAAGGUAAUUUUUUAGUAUAAACUGACGUUGAGGAACGAAAGCGUGGGUAGCAAACGGG
RNAcentral lists this ribosomal RNA (254 nucleotides) under uncultured bacterium. RNAcentral's name for it is "partial 16S ribosomal RNA". It matches the Rfam family "Bacterial small subunit ribosomal RNA", at positions 524 to 776 of the family's 1533-position model. RNAcentral also lists the same sequence under 1 other name. The record is from RNAcentral.